AUAUUUACCUGGCGUAGAGGCUACCGUGAUCAAUAAGGCGGUUCCUCCGGAGUGAGGCCCUCCCAUUGCACUACGGCUGGGCUGACCCCUGCGAUUAUCCCCAUAAAAUAAUUAACUAGAAAGAAGUGUCAACUCUGUGUUAAAUCGUGGAAACACGAU
This is a small nuclear RNA of Sitophilus oryzae (rice weevil), 159 nucleotides long. RefSeq annotates it as U1 spliceosomal RNA. The record is from RefSeq and is a predicted model, not a curated record. Lineage: Eukaryota; Metazoa; Arthropoda; Insecta; Coleoptera; Curculionidae. The transcript has a single exon.